CUCUAGCGACCUUUAGUGUGUGCGACAGUGGCAGUACGGGCGAAUCGGUCUCGUCCGGCGACGACGCUAACUUUUCGGCUAAGCGUCCGCCUUCUCUGAAACACACAAUUUCCCUCUCACCGUUGGUAUAAUCUCAAAGUACCCGAAGUCAACACGUAGUCGUGCAAUUCGAGCUGGGUGUUGCUCUUGUCACCCGUGGCGAGACCGGCGACAGCUUCAAACCAAAAGGUCGCCUGUGAAUGUGUUAGGCGUCUGCGUACCGCUGAUGCCUGCACUGUGAGCCUGUUUGAACAUUCUUCUGUGCAGCCGGUACGAUAGGAAACUGCCGGUGCUGAGCGGGCCAGUUAUGCUGUCAGCGCAGCCCCUGGUAGCAGGAUCGCCUAGGAGUUCGAUGGUGUCCGUUGCGUUCAGCGUUGCGCGCGCGUGCUGCCACCAAUUUGUCGUCGGCAAUGUCAAGGGACCAACAGUGUUAUUAGUCAUUAAAGUACCAGGAGAAGUUGUGUUGUCCAUGUGCGUAUCCACGCUCUCGUCAGGUGACAGAGGUAAGCGGCAGAAUCACGAACAUUUUCUCUCGAAGAAAUUAGAGUUUAUCCGCUCGGAUGCACGCAACUUCUACACGGGCGUCAAAGAAAACUGCCAUGACCGCCAUGCAAGUACACAUCGGAAACACAAAACACAGUUUCUCUUUUGUGAAUAUGCUGCUGUGACGUCGGGAGGUAUUUUUUGUUUUUUGACGCGUUUUGUAUAGUGGACCAGAGCUGUAAACGAUAUACUGAUUAAGGAAGCGCCAGGUUGUCCACUUUAUUACGGCCGUGUUUGGCGCUACCUAACAUGCAGUUUUUUGCCUCACUUCCAGCGGUAUGAAGCCCCCAGCGGAGUCUGCACUGACCUUUCGUUCGGUAGACGUCGGCGGAGUCCUGCAAGGUGUUAGGCAUAGAACACGGAACGUGGAAGCGGACGGCUUUCCCGAAUUGUGAGUGGUUUUGCAUAGGACAGUAAAUUUCUUCACAAGCUCUGCCCCGCUGUAUGCUAGCACGGAGUCCCUCCUUCAUUCUCGUAUUCUACCCCUGCCGCCGCAAUUGCUUCUCCCAGGCGGUAGGAGAUAACGCUAUAUCGCCUAUGGUGAACUGCGUUCAUCGAAACACUGAAGGAAUUGCAGUUGCCACGUGUCAUGAAGACUGGGAGGAGAAGGCUAGCCUGUAGAAGAAGGGACUGCUGUCAAUUCACCCACGCAGCAGUAGGGGGAAGUUUUAUAUCUACUGGUUAGCAACGCUGUUUGAAGGCUCAAGAGCAUCCAGCGGCAGGGCUCCCGAUCCACAAAGACCCUGGGGAAAUCACCAGCUCGCCCACGAGCAGUUAUGGGCCUCAGUCGAUGGUAUCCGCUUCUUUAUACCCAGGAAGUACGGCUUUGAUUUGCGCAACGACAUCAUGUUCCUCCAGAAACGCUACUUGCUUCUACACUUGCUGUCCAGAGAUGAGUCAUCUUCGUGGAUGCGUGCUCGCAUGCAGAAUUCGCUCUAGGAAUGCUUGGCGUCUUACCACAAGAGGGGGGGCGUAUCCCUGAGUUGUUCGUACGGGAAUCGAGUUUCUCCCGUGGAACGAGUUCAUUUAUGGGUGGUUGUGUCUUGUUGCUCCGUUUGUAGUUGGUAAGGUCAAGUCCUCUUACCUAUGCUGCGUCGCAUUUAUCUUUGAAGCUCGAUGCAUGGAGUGUGCUUUGGCUAGAGAAAGAAAUGUCUUACCAAUUUCUUCACGGGUAUGGUUGUCUCCCCUGCCAUUGCUUUGUUUCUUCAGGAAGUGAGCAUCGAAAUUGUCUGCCUACAGCUGCCGUACUCUCUGACGUCGCUGUGGCAGCAGGUGAAUUGUCAUGCAACCACCUGUGUGUAAAACAAAAUCCAGGAAGUACGCUUUGGCCUGUAUACCUGUGACGCCGCGGAAGCCCCACAGGGGCCUCACGAAUAAUCAGCAAAAAUAUGAUUUCUGGUAUUCACAGAACUGGGCUUCUGGCACGUUGGAUUCUUAUCUGUCUUUAAUCUCUACUGGGGGCCGCUGCUCCAAGCCCAGCGGUCCUUUCGAAGGAAUUACUAUGCGUCGCAACGUCCAAACGGUAGUAUGUAAGCCAGAAUAAGUCUAGGAAUUUGUCUUGUGGGUUUUCAUCCAUCGUUCUUCGCACAGGUCGUAAGUGCACAUUUUAGCACGCGUUGAUGAGCUACCCUACUGCUCGUUUCGUUCACAUUGUACCAGUCAAAAAGAAUAUACUGUGAUUUUGAUGUGUGUGGGUCUCUGAGAGAGUCCCUAAACCGCAAACAUUCUCUCCGAUCCAAUUUUGUCGCAGAUCGUGAGUCUCAACGACGUGGUCUGGGAACCUCGUUGAUUUUCAGGUGCUUUUCGCAACCCUCAUGUAAUUCCCUUCUUCGGUAGGCAGAAAACGUCCUGCAAUCUGGUGUGGCGCGUUGCUGCAGACUGUAAGGUUGAAUGGUGGAACUCCCAGCACCCAGCAUAGUGUCUGGUUCCAUCGAAGGCAGGUUGGAGUUGUUGCAGAUGUGCGAUUCUGUUUCAGGUUCGUGCUUUCAAAAUGCUCGGGCGAUCACUUAACGCCCACUGCGUAAAGCGUGUGUGUCUCUGUGCAAAUGCUCCUCCAGCUAGUAAGCAAUGAAACGCGCCAGGGCUUCACACAGAAAAACACGAUGUCGUCUCCGAUGCUUGUUUCACUUUGCGCAUGCGGCGAACGCCACAGUGCCUUGAGCAAGGGGAAGUGUUGGUACAUUCAAAAGAAGUGGUACCUGUUCUCAUUUACACGAAUGGGUGAUUCUGCAUGCAACUGCAUUGCAGUUGGUAGGUUUUGUUCUGUCUUAGGAUUGCUGCUUGUGAUACGGGAGGUAAGGGUGGCAGCGACCCGGGG
This 2899-nucleotide long non-coding RNA is filed under the name Toxoplasma gondii VEG. Lineage: Eukaryota; Apicomplexa; Conoidasida; Eucoccidiorida; Sarcocystidae. The record is from RNAcentral.